Cavia porcellus (domestic guinea pig) is the source of this 3685-nucleotide long non-coding RNA. The record is from Ensembl. Lineage: Eukaryota; Metazoa; Chordata; Mammalia; Rodentia; Caviidae.
AUUACAUCAGCAUGGCAUUGAGCAAAGGUGCUCCACCUGAGGAGGGUUGCCAGGAUAAAUAGGUGGAGAAGAAGGGAGGUGUGGAGGGUUGAGGCGUUAAGGAGGCAUUGUGGGUUCUCCUACGAGUUGCUGUCUGAGCUGUUGGUUCUCCUGGAGAAGCUCUGGUCCUCACAUUGAGCAUGGCUUCCUGGCUCUGGAGGGUAAGACAUGUGCUGCUUGGUCUCCAGGAUGAACUCGUCACGCUGCUUUCUGGCACGUACCCCACUGUGCUUGUCGGAGGAGGAGCUCGGGGCCUCCGUAUCGCUGAGGACAGCUGUGGUGCCUUUCAGGACAGCCCUGCUCUUUGUUGUGAGUGUGAUUUCUGGGCUCCAGCGUAGAGCCCUCAUCCCACCAGCACAGUUCCUUCAUCCUGCUGGCAUAGACUUUCUGGCUUCCACCGCUGACUCUUGGGUCUUCCCGGCACGGAUCCGUAAAAGAGACUGGCAUGAGUCCUUCUUGUGGGCUCUGGACCUCCAGUUGGACUCAUGUUUCCUCUAAGGAACAACAAUAACAACACUAUUCUGACCAGACCUAGAACAUUUUUCUUUUCCAAGGAAGAAACGUUAAGCAGAAGUUGAUAAUGGAGGCCAGAUCUGGCUCCUGGGUGCACAGGAGUGCUCUGUGGCCCAGGCCUGAGAUGUGUGCUCUGUCUCUGUAGUUGGCAAUGUGUGUAAGUGGCCCACACUGCCCACCCUUUCUGGAAGGUUCCUUUGCUUGUCAGCUAUGCUGAUGUCAUGCCAGAAGCCCUGGGAUGUCACUGGUAGGUGUGGAGUGGGAGGUGCUCAGCAUCUCCUGGCCUGAUGGGCAGCUCCUUCUCUGUCCUGCUUCCCAUGCAGGCCAGACAGAUUGUAGAGGUGGCCCAAAGUGCCCUCUGUUCCCCAAAGCUCCUGACUCCAAGCUCCGAGCCUCCUGCUCUGCUGGAAGACCGCGGUGAGCCUGUGCCUUUUCCUGGAGCCCUAUCAUCCAGCUCAGCAAGUCUGUGCCCUCAAGUCCACUUGGCGGGGUCCUCUCAGCUGGAUGGUGCCUCCCAGUGGCAUGCUGUGGGCUGAUCCAGGCAGGUGACGGCAAUUAAUUGGAACCAGAUCCUUCCCCUCAUGGGACUCGGGAGCUUUCAAAGCAGAAAACAAGAAAAUGAUCAAAUAAGUGAGGGAAGAGGUGAAAUAAAAUUGGAAUGUGCUCAUGAGCAAGGAGGGCGGUGAGUUCUUUCAAUUGGGCUCAGGGAGCCUCUUUCAAGAAAAGGACCUUUGCCUCCGACCUGAGUGGACUUAAAAAUGACUAGGUUUGUGAGAAGGAAGGAAAUAACACCUACUGAGACCUACUGGGUACUUUUGUGGAGACUGAGCCCAGAAUUUUCUGCUGAGCUACCUCCCAGGCCUGUUUACUUCUUUAGAUACAGAGUCUGGCUAAGUCAUCGAGUUGCCUAGGCUGGGCUUGAACUCACAACCCUCCUGUCUCAACAUCUGAGGAUGCUGGGGUUGCAGGCGUGAGCCUCUGUGUCUGGCUCCGAUAUCACUUUGAACCCUGUUUCAAGGAGAAAGGUAGUACUUGAUACAGAGAUCGCAAGUUUGCCACUUAAAAGGGUCAGAGCCCAAUUUGUGUCCAGAUCACUGUGGAACCCACAUUUGUGCUUUCCUACCAAGCACGGUACGUAUGGCAGGGCUGGCAGCCCAGUCUGUGGGCAGCUCGGGCUCUGGCGAGAGAGGACAACACCAAGGACAAUCAUUGGCCCAUUCUUUUGUUCACAGUCCGAAGAGCUCCAUGCUUGUGAUCGGGAUGGCUGGUGGUGGGAAAGGCUGGGACAGCACUAGAAAAAUAUUUUUGGUUCAGAAAGUCUCCUCUGAUCUUCUCUGUCAAGCAGACACGUGACACGUUUCUACUUAUCAUCUUGGCCACCAGUGGACAGAAUCCUCUGUCCUUGGUGAAGGCCCGAGUUGCAGCAGGGCUGGUCCCAAUGAAGCCAGCUCUGGGCAUGCUGAGACUUCUGGGAGCUGCUUUGGUGGGGGGCCAAAUUCAGGCUUCUCAGGUUAUGAUACAUCUGCAAGGGCUGGGGGUGAACUAACCAGCCAGAGACCACCAACAGGACUCUCAAGCCUGGUCUCCUUCCUCGGUAACCUAGGAGACAUCGGAAAAUGUCUCUACUGACAAAUACAGGAAGGAAGGAAGGAAGGAAGGAAGGAAGGAAGGAAGGAAGGAAGGAAGGCUCUCUGACUGGACAGACAGCAAGGUCAACAGGAGAGGCAGGCCUGAGACUUUUCACUGUGCCCAGAACCAGCAGGAUCCAGCAGAAAUCUGGCAGCCUAACUACAUUCUUUCUCACUCACCCACAGCUAAUGCAUCUUCCUGGCAAAGCAGGUCUCUUCUUCCAUAAGGAGCACCACAGGGCAGGUUGUUAUCGUAACAGCCUGCCAAAGCCAGCUCUAAAUUGUCCCUGAACCAGUGAUAAUAAACCAAAUAGCUACAAAUAGACACAAAUUUGCAGAAAAGUGAGCUGUCCAAGGGAUGCUUGACUUGGGAGCAGAGAGAAAUGUGGUGAAUGUCAGCACUGCAGUGAAGGAUCUUCAGGUUAUCUUGUGGUCCAGUGGCGGAGCCAAGUCUGAGGGUGCCGAGUUCCUGCAUGUUUUGAGCUUUCCUGAGACUGUGUCUUCAGCCUUCUCGAUGUUGUAACUUGGCAUCACUGACGCCAUCUUCAGCCCUGCAUUUAACUGGUGCCCUGUGUUUGACCCAGGAAAAUGGAAAAAUUACUCAGGGUAUAAGUUCCAUGAGAAAAGCAGAACGAGCUGUACCCACAGUAGAAAAAUUAACCUGCUCAACAAAAGAAGCAGGAUACAGGUGUCAACGGAAAAUUAAUGAAAGAUUCCAGCUGAAUUGUUUCCAACAGGAUGUCUUUUGUGAUUCUCUGUUUUAAUAUCUCUGUAACUUUCCAGUUCCGCGCCACUUGUUUGGACCCUGAAACGGGAGAGGGGGGGUCUGUAUAUGAGUGGUCCUGAGCUCAGCUAAUUAACUUUUGAAUUUAUCAGUUUGGCUGCUUGGAUUCCUACAUUGCUGUUCAUGAACCCACCUCACUCGUGUCAUGGUUUGUAAUUUUUGAUGGGAUGCUCUGACCGAGUGGGUGAGUUUGCAAUCUUGGAGUUCCGGGCCCCAGAGAGGUUAAACGUUUAUUCUGCAAUGAAUAAAAUUCUGGUGUAGAAGCAGUGAGCAAGUUUCAUUGUGUUCAGAGUCUGAAACUAAAAGAUACUCUUGGAAAAAUGGGAUGAGAUCUGGUUGUCUGUUUAGUCCAUCGCUGAUUGGGUAUGAAGCUGUGUUCGGAGCGAUGGGGUUGGAAACCAGUAAAUCCUACCCACCUGUCUCACGUUUAGUUAGUUAGAGAUUCUGCUUCAGUGACGGACAACCAACCAGCCACAAGUGGUCAGUCACCUUCCUCUAGGCGGAGACCUUUGGAGGCUCAAAAGGAGAGACACAGAAGUAUACUUUGUUUCAACUACCUCAUGUUUUCUCCUUUAGUCCAUAUGACUUCAUUUUUUUCACUUCUUUUUAAACAAAAGCAAUUGUUCCAUUAAUAACAUAAAAUUUAGAAAAUAAACAAAACGGAAAGAGGGGAAAUGUCACCCACAAACUUACUAUCCACAUGCAAGCAAAAGUAACAUUG